Molecule: ribosomal RNA, 253 nt
Filed under: uncultured bacterium
Lineage: Bacteria
Description: partial 16S ribosomal RNA
Rfam family: Bacterial small subunit ribosomal RNA
Source: RNAcentral
UACGAAGGGGGCUAGCGUUGUUCGGAAUUACUGGGCGUAAAGCGUGCGCAGGCGGUCUCUCAAGUCAGGGGUGAAAGCCCAGAGCUCAACUCUGGAAUUGCCUUUGAAACUGUGAGGCUCGAGUACGGGAGAGGUGAGUGGAAUUCCCAGUGUAGAGGUGAAAUUCGUAGAUAUUGGGAAGAACACCGGUGGCGAAGGCGGCUCACUGGCCCGUUUCUGACGCUCAUGCACGAUAGCGUGGGGAUCAAACAGG